GCGCGGAAAUGCAAGGAUCCAAUUACAUUUUAACCAGGGGCUUGAUUGCAAAAGUACAAGAAUUACAAGGAUUAAAUUGAAAGCAACCUUUAGAGCUGGAAAACGGAGUCGUUUCGCAUUGACUGUUCACCGUCUUCUUCCUCAGCAACGGCUCCGCCAUUAAUGGCAGAGACGUUUCAUCCGUUGGCAGUCACCGCUUACGUUUCAUCAUUGAUGGUGCCUAAAGGGUCGGUUGCAGGGCGUUUAU
Molecule: long non-coding RNA, 247 nt
Filed under: Populus trichocarpa (black cottonwood)
Lineage: Eukaryota; Viridiplantae; Streptophyta; Magnoliopsida; Malpighiales; Salicaceae
Description: long non-coding RNA (PTRI_LNC002644)
Source: RNAcentral